CUUAUUUUUUAAUAUAAGAUAAAGAGAUUGUCAGUUGAGCUCAAAAGUUUAUUAUAUGAAACACAUAUAUGGUUGAGCCGUGACAGUUAUCCUACAUUUGAAUUGAAUUCUUUGUGAUUAAAGAUUCUCUUUGUAAUUCUGUGAAGAUGAGACUCUACUUGUGACAGCAUCAAAGGGUUGGGUAAUGCACCCAAACCAAUUUUAAUUUUAACCCUACAUUAUAGAACCACUUGAUCAAUCUCUUGGAGCAUCCCAAAUAGAUACAUCAAUUGAUAUGUGAUUGACUUACUGUAGAAUUUCUCAAUUAAGGUAGCGUUUACUUUUUGGAUUGGAUUGGAAAUUUUGGGGAGUGGGAAUCCUAGGAUUGGGAGUGUGGAGUGGGAGUGAGAGUAGGUUGUUUACUUACACUGGAAUGGAAGCAUGGAAUGGAGAUCAGAAUCCAAUUUAUGUGUUUACUUUGUCUUGGAUUGGGAGUAAAUAGUUUCAAAUUAUAAUUUUAUCCUUAUUUAAAGAAUUAUAGU
RNAcentral lists this long non-coding RNA (521 nucleotides) under Citrus x clementina. Its description in RNAcentral is "Citrus clementina (C. clementina) long non-coding RNA (CCLE_LNC003977)". Lineage: Eukaryota; Viridiplantae; Streptophyta; Magnoliopsida; Sapindales; Rutaceae. The record is from RNAcentral.